AACGCACCUUGCGCCUUUUGGUAUUCCGAAAGGCAUGCCUGUUUGAGUGUCAUGAAAUAUCAAUCCCUCAGGUUUUUCCUGAUCGAUUGGACUUGGGCGUCUGCCGACCGGCUCGCCUUAAAUGCGUUAGUGGUUCAAGUCACUCGUGUCUGACGUAAUAAGUUUCGUCUCGCAUGGUGGCCUACCCGCUCACAACCCCCAUCUUUACUUCUGACCUCAAAUCAGGUAGGGCUACCCGCUGAACUUAA
RNAcentral lists this unclassified non-coding RNA (248 nucleotides) under Mollisia sp. RNAcentral describes it as "partial contains 5.8S ribosomal RNA, internal transcribed spacer 2, and large subunit ribosomal RNA". The stretch from base 1 to 52 matches the Rfam family "5.8S ribosomal RNA", at positions 103 to 154 of the family's 154-position model. The record is from RNAcentral. RNAcentral also lists the same sequence under 1 other name. Lineage: Eukaryota; Fungi; Ascomycota; Leotiomycetes; Helotiales; Mollisiaceae.